CAGAAAUCGUCCUGCACCGGGGUGCUAAGCUUAGACAGGUGAAAUUCUUCUAGCACCGUGCAAAAGCUGGGGCAGAGGGCAAGAACAAUUGUUAUUUCGUCAUAUAGACCCAUCGACGUCGUAAGCGGAGAACGUGCCUGCACUGCUGUAUUUUAUUAUUAACAAAUCCGGUCAAGAUGGGAAUAGCUGCAGAUGACAGUCUAUACAACGUGAGAAAGACGAAGGCGCUGCCAAAACAUUCGUUAUUUGGGACGUCAUUCGAGAUGUUCACGGAAGAAGAAAAACAACGCAUUAACAGCAUAGACCUCAACACCAAUGCAUGUGUGAAUCAGAAAAUACCAAUUGCCGAUCACCUCCUGCAAAAUAUCAAAGGUCGUGAAGAGGCUGCUGAAAAACGCCGCGAGUUUGAGAAACGGAAAAAGAUCACGGAACAGACAAGACAGAACAUGAAGACUUUCGAACAGGACGCCAUUCUAGUCUGCACUGGCUCACAGUCAAAAGACAUGAGUCACGUUAUCAAGGCUGCUACGAGGAGAGAGGAGCCCGCGAGAUGUGGUACGUGGUUCACUGGGAAAGACAUCGAACAUUCCCGAGAAAUUAAUUUCAGUACAAUGCCGGACAACUACAGAAGCUACAACCGCGAUAAGUUUUCCAGACUCCCACCAAUUUACAAAAAUCCCGCCGUCGAUGUCUUUUCGCGGCCGAGGAGACAAUCGGUCGUUUCCGCGGAACCUCGGGGUCCGUACCAGCAAGGAAGGCCGGAUCUCUCCGGGGACGUCCGGAGAAUGGCGUCACCGUGUGUCCACGAGCCAGCAGCAGACGAGCCAGCAGCAGACGAUCCGUCCGUGAGCAACUACAUAUGUGUUCCCCAGAAUAUACGUCACAGGUUUGGCAGCAAGGUGUGCGAUUCCCUGCUGUCUGACGAAAAGAAAGUUCAAGACACGCUGGCAAGGCUGCACACAGCGCCGUGCUACCUUCCACAAAAAGGUAGCCCCAGGGUUCACUCGGCCAGUCAGCAGUCACAGAGGAGUAGUCAACGAACACCGACACACAGUCAGCACAUUGAGAGGACCAGUCCACACGCUCAGAGGACCAUUCGGCAAACGAAGAGCGACGUCCAGCUGCAAACAAAGAGCGACCAUCAGCAAGCUCAGAGGACAAGCCAGACGGCCCGGAGAGAUGACGAGCGGACGCCGAGAUUCAGUCAGCAAACGAAGAGGGAAAAUCAGCAGCAGACGCCAGUCCGAAUCAGUGACUACGACGCGUUAAGCAUCAUAACGCGUCAGAACGUCAUUCCGGGACUCUCGAUAAGAAACCCGCAGAGUACCAGCAAAUCGACGUACAACGAAGCAGUGCUCCUCCGCCGGGUUCCCGAAACGGACGAGUUCAAAUACAAGAAACAUAGUCUUAGCCGCUGGGUGGAAGACAACGUUCGCCGAGAGAGGACGAGGAAGGACUGGGAUGAGAAAUUCUCAACCAACACGAAAUAAGACCAAUGACGUCACCACACCUACGCAAUGGUGUAUUUUACAUUUGUUGUUUAUGUACAAUUAGGCAUGUGGACAGAACAGCAAAUCUUUCGUGUUCGCUUGGACAAACAGUGGGCAAGUUAUUUUGAAAGUCUUCCUAAGGUUCAUGUCACGUGGGACAGAGAUG
RNAcentral lists this unclassified non-coding RNA (1656 nucleotides) under Gigantopelta aegis. RNAcentral describes it as "uncharacterized LOC121379147, transcript variant X1". Lineage: Eukaryota; Metazoa; Mollusca; Gastropoda; Neomphalida; Peltospiridae. The record is from RNAcentral.